GACGAACGCUGGCGGCGUGCUUAACACAUGCAAGUCGAGCGAUGAAGUUCCUUCGGGAAUGGAUUAGCGGCGGACGGGUGAGUAGCACGUGGGUAACCUGCCUCAUAGAGGGGAAUAGCCUUCCGAAAGGAAGAUUAAUACCGCAUAAGAUUGUAGUAUCGCAUGAUACAGUAAUUAAAGGAGUAAUUCGCUAUGAGAUGGACCCGCGUCGCAUUAGCUAGUUGGUGAGGUAACGGCUCACCAAGGCGACGAUGCGUAGCCGACCUGAGAGGGGGAUCGGCCACAUUGGGACUGAAACACGGCCCAGACUCCUACGGGAGGCAGCAGUGGGGAAUAUUGCACAAUGGGGGAAACCCUGAUGCAGCAACGCCGCGUGAGUGAUGACGGUCUUCGGAUUGUAAAACUCUGUCUUCAGGGACGAUAAUGACGGUACCUGAGGAGGAAGCCACGGCUAACUACGUGCCAGCAGCCGCCGUAA
RNAcentral lists this ribosomal RNA (478 nucleotides) under uncultured bacterium. Its description in RNAcentral is "partial 16S ribosomal RNA". It matches the Rfam family "Bacterial small subunit ribosomal RNA", at positions 28 to 523 of the family's 1533-position model. The record is from RNAcentral.